Molecule: long non-coding RNA, 336 nt
Organism: Trichosurus vulpecula (common brushtail)
Lineage: Eukaryota; Metazoa; Chordata; Mammalia; Diprotodontia; Phalangeridae
Exons: 2
Source: RefSeq, a predicted model, not a curated record
GAUCCAUGCUCUGGGACCCGGAAUGUAAUCACUCGUUGAGAGGAUUAAGAAUAUUAGAUUGCAUAAAGGAUUGCUCUUUGGAGUUCUGAUUAUCAAGAAGGAAGGAGAAAAAGGAUUCAUACACAGAUCUAAAGUAGAAUCAAUGAGAAGUCUCAAAAAGAUGAUGUUGAAAUAUGAACUGGAUAACCAAGGAGUAGGUAUACUGAAGAGCUCUCCAGAACCCUCUGGAAUGAAAGACUGUUCAACUUUUAAAAUGUGGCUUUUUUCUUUUCUCAAUAGCCUCUUUAUUUUUAUUUCCACAGACUCCAAAGCAACAAUAAAGAAGGCUUCUCAGUA